CGCAUCUGUGCAUGCAGCAUAUCAAUAAGCGGAGGAAAAGAAACUAACAAGGAUUCCCCUAGUAACGGCGAGUGAAGCGGGAAGAGCUCAAAUUUGAAAUCUUAAAGGGUUUCCCUUUACGAAUUGUAGUUUAAAGAAGUGUUUUCCUGUUGAGGUUUUGGUAAAAGUUCUUUGGAAUAGGACAUCAUAGAGGGUGAGAAUCCCGUAUUUGACCUUUACUUUCAACUUUGUGAUACACUUUCAAAGAGUCGGAUUGUUUGGGAAUGCAGUCCAAAAUGGGUGGUAAAUUUCAUCUAAAGCUAAAUAUCGGCGAGAGGACCGAUAGCGAACAAGUACCGUGAGGGAAAGAUGAAAAGAACUUUGAAAAGAGAGUUAAACAGUACGUGAAAUUGUCAAAAGGGAAGCGUUUGACACCAGUGUUGUUUUUCUGAAAAUCAAUUAAAGAACUGUUUAUGCUAAGCUGUUUAGACUUUAUCAGCUAUCUGUUUAGUUUUGAGCUUUUCUUUAAUGCACUUUUCAGUUAACAAGUCAACAUCAAUUUCUUUUGCUGUAAAAAAGCUUGAGGAAGGUGGCUUGAGAUUCGUCUUAAGUGUUUAUAGCCUCUUGCCUAUGCAGUCGGAGAGAUUGAGGUCUGCAGCGUAGAUCCUUCGGGGCUAAAUGCAUUUGUGCUAAGUUAUAGCAUUUUAUAGACAACUUGUUGACUAUGAUUUGUCUUGUAGCUUACUCGCUUAUGUUAUUUUACCUACGCUUAGGAUGUUGAAUCUGUGCGAGACUAC
This 776-nucleotide ribosomal RNA is filed under the name uncultured Neocallimastigales. Its description in RNAcentral is "partial large subunit ribosomal RNA". It matches the Rfam family "Eukaryotic large subunit ribosomal RNA", at positions 26 to 644 of the family's 3401-position model. Lineage: Eukaryota; Fungi; Neocallimastigomycota; Neocallimastigomycetes; Neocallimastigales. The record is from RNAcentral.